GGUUAACUGUACAAAAGCUACAUACACAUCCAUGAUUUCACCUGAGCUCAGCAGAGGCCCAUGGCAGGACAGUGCAGAGGCACAGCUGACGGGGCUCUUUGCUUGUUCCUGAUGCUCUUUCCCGAAGGGGGCCCGUACAUGGAGUCAUUCAGUGGCUGGGGCCAUAAAUGAGGGCCGCACCAGCGGCUCAGCACUGCUUAUUCUAAAAGGACACAAGGACUUUGGAGCGCAGCCAAAAUGCCUGGAACAAAAGGUAAUAAGGCGGACAAGAAAUCCACCACCAAGCAACCACAGAGUCCUAAGGAGCAGCCGAAAAAAGGUGAUCAGAAAGGAGAUGAUGCCAAAAAGCAAGGAGGUAAAUAUUGACAACAGCAUAGAAGACACGAGUGAAAAAAGGCAUUUCAGAUGCAUGAAAUACAAGCAAAAAUGACGCCGCAAAUAUCUGAAAUGUAAAAUGCUUUUUAUUGCUUAUGAAA
RNAcentral lists this long non-coding RNA (476 nucleotides) under Sinocyclocheilus grahami. RNAcentral describes it as "lncRNA (ENSSGRG00000017997.1)". Lineage: Eukaryota; Metazoa; Chordata; Actinopteri; Cypriniformes; Cyprinidae. The record is from RNAcentral.